CCCUUAGAGUUUGAUCCUGGCUCAGAAUGAACGCUGGCGGCGUGCUUAACACAUGCAAGUCGUACGAGAACACUCUAGCUUGCUAGGGUAAGUAAAGUGGCGCACGGGUGAGUAACGCGUGGGUAAUCUACCUUCGAAUUGGGGAUAACGUUGCGAAAGCGACGCUAAUACCGAAUAACAUCCAUUAAUCUUCGGGUUUUUGGAUCAAGGGUGGCCUCUACAUGUAAGCUACUGUUUGAAGAUGAGCCCGCGUACCAUUAGCUUGUUGGUGGGGUAAUGGCCUACCAAGGCAGCGAUGGUUAGCUGGUCUGAGAGGAUGAUCAGCCACACUGGAACUGACACACGGUCCAGACUCCUACGGGAGGCAGCAGUGAGGAAUUUUGCGCAAUGGGGGAAACCCUGACGCAGCAACGCCGCGUGAGUGAUGAAGGCUUUCGGGUCGUAAAGCUCUGUCAAGUGGGAAGAACCUGCAGUAUGCUAAUAUCAUAUUGCACUGACGGUACCACUGAAGGAAGCACCGGCUAACUCCGUGCCAGCAGCCGCGGUAAUACGGGGGGUGCAAGCGUUAUUCGGAAUCAUUGGGCGUAAAGGGCACGUAGGCGGCCUGGUAAGUCAGAUGUGAAAGCCCGGGGCUUAACCCCGGAAGUGCAUUUGAUACUGUCAGGCUUGAGUAUGGGAGAGGGAAGUGGAAUUCCUGGUGUAGAGGUGAAAUUCGUAGAUAUCAGGAGGAACACCGGUGGCGAAGGCGACUUCCUGGACCAAUACUGACGCUGAGGUGCGAAGGCGUGGGUAGCAAACAGGAUUAGAUACCCUGGUAGUCCACGCAGUAAACGUUGUUCACUAGGUGUAGCGGGUAUUGACCCCUGCUGUGCCGCAGUUAACGCAUUAAGUGAACCGCCUGGGGGAGUACGGCCGCAAGGUUUAAAACUC
This 930-nucleotide ribosomal RNA is filed under the name uncultured Desulfobacterales bacterium. RNAcentral describes it as "bacterial SSU rRNA". It matches the Rfam family "Bacterial small subunit ribosomal RNA", at positions 1 to 902 of the family's 1533-position model. Lineage: Bacteria; Pseudomonadati; Thermodesulfobacteriota; Desulfobacteria; Desulfobacterales. The record is from RNAcentral.